ACCUAAAACUUGAACUUUCGCGGGCUAGUCAGUGCCCUGAACACUUCCUAAUUAUUGUUUGAAUUAUGUGACUUCUGGAAAAGGAACUGUUUCUUGCAGGAGGCAAAAUGCUUUUCUGGGGGCAGGAGAGUGUGUUGGCAUUGUGCGCUGCGGUUGUGGUUUGUCUGCAGGAGCAAGUCGGCUUCUCGGAGAUGCCUGAGAGGCAAAUACCUCGACUCCAUUCGGUCUUCGCAGGCUGCCAACGCUGCUGCUCUACCUGGCCAGAUCAGAUGGGAAUGGAGAUAGCGUCUCUGCUUAUUUUCUUUAGAGCGGUGUGAAAACAAACACACCCCCUUUCCACAGCUGAAGACAACCUUCCUGUAAACACUGUCCAAAAAAAAA
Molecule: long non-coding RNA, 381 nt
Organism: Etheostoma spectabile (orangethroat darter)
Lineage: Eukaryota; Metazoa; Chordata; Actinopteri; Perciformes; Percidae
Exons: 2
Source: RefSeq, a predicted model, not a curated record